This 1640-nucleotide long non-coding RNA is filed under the name Schizosaccharomyces pombe (fission yeast). Lineage: Eukaryota; Fungi; Ascomycota; Schizosaccharomycetes; Schizosaccharomycetales; Schizosaccharomycetaceae. The record is from RNAcentral.
AUUUAAUACUCUAUUCUGAUACAUAUACAAUAUAUACACAUAUGUUGUAGUAAUAAAAAUUCAUAAAAAACAGACUAUCGUAUAUAUAAUUUCUCAUUCCGUCAUAUCACAAUAUACCUUCACAUAACCAUCUUCUUUAUAAAAAAGUUUGUUGUAGGCAUCAGGUAAAUCGUCAAAUUUGAUCUUGUUUGUUACCAUCCAUCUGGGAUCGAUCUUUCCGGAGCGUAUGUUGUCAAUAACAUAUCCAAAAUAAUUUUGGCAAGGACAUUGACCUGAUCGGAUAGUCAAGUGCUUCAUCACGACAUGGCCAAUUGGAAACUGAUUACUCGUCCCAACAUAGUCAGCAAUAAUAGAAACGUGGCCGUAUUUUCGAACAGCAUUUAAACACUCAGUAAUCAUGUCUGGUGAAUCUGUCUCAAGGCCGACAGCACGCUCAACUUUAUGCAAAAUACUAGUAGAAAACCGGAAACCGGAAGCUUCAAUGGCACAGUCAACUCCAUUAGAAACCAAUUCCAUAAUUUUCUUUGGGACAUCACUAACCUCGUUUCGAUCAAUGACUGUAAAACCAAACUUCUGGCGAGCUAACUCAAUUCUUUCAGGAACAACCUCAAUUCCGAUCACUUUACUAGCACCAAGAAUUUGAGCCCAACGACCUGCAUAAAGACCUAUGGGACCCAUACCCCAAAUUGCUACGGUAUCACCCUUUUUUACUUCUCCCAACGUGCAUGCAUGGAGGGAUGUACAUAAAACGUCCGACAUGAAAAGCCCUUCACUAUCGGGGAUAUCAUCAGGAAGCUUACAGCAGUUAAUUUCUGCAAAUGGCACACGAAUAUACUCAGCUUGACAGCCAGGCACGUCUCCAAGUAGUUUAGUGUAACCAAAAAUAGCAGAAUGAUGGCUUCCAUAGUUAACAUCCAUUAACUUGGAAUCAUUGGUCGUGUCACAUGCAGCAUAUUCGUGACGUUUACAGAAACUGCAUUGGCCACAAGCCAGAUCAAAGGCUAUAACAACUCGAUCUCCAAUCUCUAGAUUAUUUACUUCAUCUCCCUUCUCAGCAACAAUCCCACAUGAUUCAUGGCCCAAUAUAGCUCCUUUUUCGAUACCAGGCAUUUCUCCUGAGAAAAUGUGCGAGUCCGAUCCAGAGCAUAUGGUGCAUGCGGUAGUUUUUACAAUCACAUCUUUAGGAUGGGUGAUGGUUGGUUUGGGAACUUCCGCAAUCUUCACAUUUAAAGGACCAUCCCAAACACAAGCCUUCAUCGUGGCUCCAGAUGGAUCGGGCUUUGGCUGAGUACUUCCCUCAGACACCUCUCGGUGUCCAAGUUGUUUGUCCAUAAUAUUUGUUUUCAAAUUGGUUAGAUAUUCCAUUUCGAAUCGCUUUACCACAAAUGUCUUUCAAAAGCGACAGGAAUCUUGGGUCAAUUUAAACAAAAAUGUUCGUAAUUUAGCAAUUCUUUUGGCCGACGUGGAUAAUAUAAAAAAUACCAAGACGCCACAUCGCUUUUAAUAUCAUCAUUCUCAUUUCAACUUUAACCUGUGGCUAAUAGCACUUUGUCAUAGUUACCUGUUAAACAAAUUGCAUCACCCAGAAAAAUUAAUGUGUUGAAAUGUACCUAUAGAGAAACACAAGAAAUAGAUGUUCA